This 58-nucleotide small nucleolar RNA is filed under the name Homo sapiens (human). RNAcentral describes it as "small nucleolar RNA, C/D box 168 (SNORD168)". The record is from RNAcentral. Lineage: Eukaryota; Metazoa; Chordata; Mammalia; Primates; Hominidae.
GCUUGAUGAUGUGUUGGAGGAGCAAACUGGUGGCACCCAAGGCUCUGUUCUGAAGCAG